UACGGGGGGGAGCAAGCGUUGUUCGGAUUUACUGGGCGUAAAGGGCGCGUAGGCGGUCGUGACAAGUCACUUGUGAAAUCUCCGGGCUUAACUCGGAAAGGUCAAGUGAUACUGUCGGACUAGAGUGCAGAAGGGGCAACUGGAAUUCUCGGUGUAGCGGUGAAAAUGCGUAGAUAUCGAGAGGAACACCUGCGGCGAAGGCGGGUUGCUGGGCUGAUACUGACGUGAGGCGCGAAAGCCAGGGGAGCGAACGGG
RNAcentral lists this ribosomal RNA (255 nucleotides) under uncultured bacterium. RNAcentral's name for it is "partial 16S ribosomal RNA". It matches the Rfam family "Bacterial small subunit ribosomal RNA", at positions 524 to 776 of the family's 1533-position model. The record is from RNAcentral.